Long non-coding RNA from Urocitellus parryii (Arctic ground squirrel), 2595 nucleotides. RefSeq lists it as uncharacterized. The record is from RefSeq and is a predicted model, not a curated record. Lineage: Eukaryota; Metazoa; Chordata; Mammalia; Rodentia; Sciuridae.
CCGAGUGGAAAGGGCAGGACGGGCAUCUUGGAGAGGGUCUCCCAGCCUGUGGUUGGGGACGGAGGAGCCUCAUCAGGGGUGGGCAGGGUGACAGCCACCUCCCUGGCCCUUGGAUGAUGCAGGUUCCCAGUCCGUCUGGGGUUCACAUCCCACCCCCAGGGCUCCAAGCAAGAACAGAGCCCCCAACGACCCUUGGACACCGUCUCGGAGCCUCCACCAGGCCGCGGGGCGAGGGGCUCCCGCAGAGCAGCAGUCACAGGUGCCACCGUGCGCCCUCCUCCUUGCACUCCAGCCACAGGCCCCGUUGUCCUUGAGUGCCCCGGAGCGCCUGCCUCAGGGUCUUCGCCCUGGGCCUCCUCCCCACAGCUGCCCUGGCUCUUCCUCUUCAUCCGCGAGCUCCUGGCCUGGCCGAGGCCGCGCCCCUCGCCAGCGCUCUUCACCGGUCACUGUGUGGUCUUCUCCAUGGCAGUUUUGACGUCGGCCGUCGGCGCUGUCUCUGGACCCUCCACCCCACGACAGGCGACCAUGGCGAGGACAGAAACCUGAGGAGCCCCGAGUCUUGGGCAGACUGAGUUCACGUAUUUCAUGGAGAUUGCUUCUGAAUGUGAUGGCGGGCUACCUGCUCGGCUGUCUGUACCUUCAACGUGUGACCUGAAGGGAGGAUGGCCCUGACACAGAAAGCGCAGCGCACCUAAGAGAUGGGCGUUCAGCAUGAUGUCGUCCAGCGGCUUCUUCAGAAGUGAAGUUCUCCAAAGAUCUUCAGUCUGGCGGCUUCAUCUUUUACUGAAGAUGCAGAUUAACAGGAUUCUUUUUAAAGGUGUGUUUCUUCAUCUUGAAUGGGCGCUCCUGAAGUCUCUUAUCAUGGACUACGUACUUUACAGAGUUAUCAAAAAUUAUCUAACCGACAAACAUGUCUUUAAAAACUUGGGCUCGGGGAGCGGUUAGAAAUCAAAGUGUGGCUUUAGAUUAGGGUUGAUUUUAUGGCCAAGGGGAGGGCUAUGGCCCUUUGAACGCUCUGCAGCUGAACAAGAACAAAGGGGUGGGUGUGUGAGCUGCGUAACGGCCGCACUGACCUAGCCCACCCAGCCCAGGUCUCAGGGGCCACCACGCUUCCACAGUGCUCUCCCAGGAACGAGGCCUGCACCUGCUCCCUGUGGCCACUGUCCUUGAGAAGCCACCUCAGUCCCCUGGAACUGGACCAGCUUGGGAUGCAGCAGGACUUCGCCCGGCCAACUCUUGGCUUUGAAGAGCGAGUCACUGGGUUAUUUCUGGACGAUGAGUUUCGGGGAGAUGGAAAACCAGCAGGCGGGAUCUUCAACCCACCCAUUUCUCCAAGGCUGCUCCCCGGGAAACAGAACUUUCUUUCUCACUGUGGUAAAAUAUGCACAACAUAGAUUUACCAUUCCAACCAUCUGCAAGUGUGCAGCUCAAUGACAUAAGUACAUUCACACUGAGGCACGGCCAUCGCCGCCAUCCACAUCCGACCCGUUUUCAUCUUCCCAAACUCAGACUCUGCUGGUUACACAGCCCCGUCUCCCCAGCCCCUGUACCCACCAUCCUGAUUUCUGUGCCCUGGACUUACUUCAGGAGGGACGGCAUGUAAGUGGAAUGGUAAGGUAUCUGUCCUUCCGUGACUGGCUUAUUUCACUCAACGUGAUGUCUUCAAGUUCAUCCGUGCACCUGAAUUUGGUUCCUUUGAAAGGCUGAGGAGCAGUCCGAGUUUGCUUGGUCAUUCAUUGGUCAGUGCCCAUUUGGCUAAAAGCAGAACCUUUUCUGCCACAGGCUCAUAGGUGGGCAAGACUGAAACCAAAGAACAUUUCAAGCAACUUUGUUGAAGAAGUUGCCCAAUCUCUUUAAUCGUGUUUUAAAAAUAGACGAUGAAAUGUAAGAGUUAAGGGCAAACAGCAUACAUUCAAAGAACACCAGGAACAUAACACCGACCUUUGCGCUCGGCCAGCGUGCAGAAUCCCUUCCCACAACACAGAGGCCCCUCCAGAAUCCCUUCCCACAACACAGAGGCCCCUCCACGCGGUGCUGCACAGACCUGGCCCGGAGCGGGGCUGGUGACCCAAGAAUCCCGCCUGUGAGUGAGACAUGAGUGGGCUGUGUCCCCGAGGCCCACAGAGGGUGGCGGGGGUGGCAGCCUCAGCUGGUGACCUCCUGGCAGCUGUGGGCAGCCCUCAUCACUCUCCCAGUCAUCAGAUGGUGCCCAGGUGGGGGCAGCAGGUGACAUCCGGUCCCCACCAGUCACCCUCUCUUCCUCCCUUCUUGACCACAUUUGCGCUUGGUGGCAGGGGAGCAGGGACAGAGUGGCCCUGCCUGGGGCAAGGCGCUGUGACAGGGAGAUGCGCCCUCCCCCACCUGAGGCCAGAGGCGUCCUGGGGUGGCCUGCAGCUCCUGUCCUCCUGGCCCCCUGUUCCCCUUCCCCUGCUGUUUGUGGAGGCCUGACAGGACAGGGAGGCUGGCCGCGGCUCCUCCCACUCACACACACCAGGGCAGAACUCAGGUGCAGAGAGGGGCAGAGUGCAGCCUAGUGUGUGUGGGGUGUGUGUGUGUGUGGGGGGGGGGGUGUGCGCAGUGUGUGACUGCACUGUA